UACGGAGGGUGCGAGCGUUAAUCGGAAUUACUGGGCGUAAAGCGCGCGUAGGCGGUUCGAUAAGUCAGAUGUGAAAUCCCCGGGCUCAACCUGGGAAUGGCAUUUGAUACUGUCAGACUGGAGUGUGGUAGAGGGAAGUGGAAUUCCGCAUGUAGCGGUGAAAUGCGUAGAGAUGCGGAGGAACACCAGUGGCGAAAGCGGCUUCCUGGACCAACACUGACGAUGAGGUGCGAAAGAGUGGGGAGCAAACAGG
This 253-nucleotide ribosomal RNA is filed under the name uncultured bacterium. Its description in RNAcentral is "partial 16S ribosomal RNA". It matches the Rfam family "Bacterial small subunit ribosomal RNA", at positions 524 to 776 of the family's 1533-position model. The record is from RNAcentral.